GGGUUGUGAGGUUAAGCGACUAAGCGUACACGGUGGAUGCCCUGGCAGUCAGAGGCGAUGAAGGGCGUGCUAAUCUGCGAUAAGCGCCGGUAAGGUGAUAUGAACCGUUAUAACCGGCGAUACCCGAAUGGGGAAACCCAGUGUGACUCGUCACACUAUCAUUAACUGAAUCCAUAGGUUAAUGAGGCGAACCGGGGGAACUGAAACAUCUAAGUACCCCGAGGAAAAGAAAUCAACCGAGAUUCCCCCAGUAGCGGCGAGCGAACGGGGAGGAGCCCAGAGCCUGAAUCAGCAUGUGUGUUAGUGGAAGCGUCUGGAAAGGCGCGCGAUACAGGGUGACAGCCCCGUACACAAAAGCGCAUGUGCUGUGAGCUCGAUGAGUAGGGCGGGACACGUGGUAUCCUGUCUGAAUAUGGGGGGACCAUCCUCCAAGGCUAAAUACUCCUGACUGACCGAUAGUGAACCAGUACCGUGAGGGAAAGGCGAAAAGAACCCCGGCGAGGGGAGUGAAAAAGAACCUGAAACCGUGUACGUACAAGCAGUGGGAGCACAGGUUUACCUGUGUGACUGCGUACCUUUUGUAUAAUGGGUCAGCGACUUAUAUUCUGUAGCAAGGUUAACCGUAUAGGGGAGCCGUAGGGAAACCGAGUCUUAACCGGGCGUUAAGUUGCAGGGUAUAGACCCGAAACCCGGUGAUCUAGCCAUGGGCAGGUUGAAGGUUGGGUAACACUAACUGGAGGACCGAACCGACUAAUGUUGAAAAAUUAGCGGAUGACCUGUGGCUGGGGGUGAAAGGCCAAUCAAACCGGGAGAUAGCUGGUUCUCCCCGAAAGCUAUUUAGGUAGCGCCUCGUGAAUUCAUCUCCGGGGGUAGAGCACUGUUUCGGCUAGGGGGCCAUCCCGGCUUACCAACCCGAUGCAAACUGCGAAUACCGGAGAAUGUUAUCACGGGAGACACACGGCGGGUGCUAACGUCCGUCGUGAAGAGGGAAACAACCCAGACCGCCAGCUAAGGUCCCAAAGUCAUGGUUAAGUGGGAAACGAUGUGGGAAGGCCCAGACAGCCAGGAUGUUGGCUUAGAAGCAGCCAUCAUUUAAAGAAAGCGUAAUAGCUCACUGGUCGAGUCGGCCUGCGCGGAAGAUGUAACGGGGCUAAACCAUG
Molecule: ribosomal RNA, 1160 nt
Filed under: Salmonella enterica subsp. enterica serovar Mbandaka
Lineage: Bacteria; Pseudomonadati; Pseudomonadota; Gammaproteobacteria; Enterobacterales; Enterobacteriaceae
Description: partial 23S ribosomal RNA
Rfam family: Bacterial large subunit ribosomal RNA
Source: RNAcentral